Long non-coding RNA from Myotis davidii, 829 nucleotides. RefSeq lists it as uncharacterized. The record is from RefSeq and is a predicted model, not a curated record. The transcript has 4 exons. Lineage: Eukaryota; Metazoa; Chordata; Mammalia; Chiroptera; Vespertilionidae.
GUGGCACGUCCACCUCAGUACAGAGAUGUACAGCCUCCAUAUUCCACCUCUGAGCUCCUGACGAUGGUAACUGAAGAGGAGCAAAUUCUAACCACCUUAAAUACAUGGGAAACAAGUCAAAGUCUCUCAAAUAAGCCCAGAUUCUACUCAGCAUCUAGCCUGAGGAACUAUUUUUACUUGAAAUGAUAGGCUAUCCAGGAUGUGCUUCAAAAUAAUAUGGGAAUGUGGAGAAUGUAGAGGGAACAACUUAAAAUCUACUGAAACUGGAUCCCUUUUGAGAUAUGCCGUGAUGGAAGGCAUCAUGCAAAGUCUUGGAGAAAUAGAAGCUUUGGUGUAAGACAUAUCUGAAGUUGAAGCCAUGUUCUGCCACUUAUUAGCUCUAAGCCUUUGUUUCUUCAUAUAUAAAAUGACAAUUACAAUAACCCUUCUAUGUUACAGCAAGGUUUACACAAUAUGGUAUGUAAAGUGCCCAAAUGUGCAAGAUGCUCAAAUGUUACUUCCACUGCCAUUAGUUACACUCCAAUUCUACCCAGUCUAUACCAGGAGACAACUGAUUGUUCUUCCUGAGUUUUAAGAAAAUAGGUUUAAAAAAACAUAUUUAGUCAUAUAUAUAUACUCAGAGGCUGAAUCUAAUGAAAUUUUUCAUCAAAAAAUGUAGGGCAAGGGAAGCACUUUAAUGUUCUGUCAUUGUCAUUUUACACUGUAUGUGCCAUGGUUGUGAGAAAGCUUGCAGGACUUCACCACUUUAAUUUUUUAUAUAAGCCCACUAUUCUGUCCACCUUCUUUAUGAAUAAUGUGAAAGUAACCAAGACCCCACCAGCCCAUCAGU